RNAcentral lists this long non-coding RNA (232 nucleotides) under Monodelphis domestica (gray short-tailed opossum). RNAcentral's name for it is "lncRNA (ENSMODG00000042242.1)". Lineage: Eukaryota; Metazoa; Chordata; Mammalia; Didelphimorphia; Didelphidae. The record is from RNAcentral.
UAUCACAGGCAUCAGCCUAAUGAGCUUUGAAAAAUACCAUGUUAUUAUUUCUGAGAAACCAAGCAACCUGUAUGGCUGACAAGUCAUUAGAGGUUUCUUAAAUCUAGACAAUCAAGACAACAAUUAAUCACAAGGUAUAAUCACCCUGAAAAUUUAACAAUCAGGCAUCCUUGGAACUGAAGCCCAAGAAUGGGCUCCUCUGUCUUCCAUGCAGUUCAUUGGGAAGAGCCAG